Molecule: long non-coding RNA, 3991 nt
Filed under: Phoenix dactylifera (date palm)
Lineage: Eukaryota; Viridiplantae; Streptophyta; Magnoliopsida; Arecales; Arecaceae
Description: long non-coding RNA (PDAC_LNC012211)
Source: RNAcentral
UAAUUUUAGUCCUAAUCUAAUUAGGACUUUAGGAAUCCUACUCCAAGUAGGACUCUAAUAAUUUGAAGUCCUAAUCUUAUUAGAACUCUAGGAGUCCUACUUCAAGUAGGACUCUUGAACCUUAUCAAAUAAGAUCGAGCCCAAUUAAUUAAGUCCAAUUGAUUCAAUCAAAUUGCAAUCUAAUUGCAAUUAAUCUCUUCUUCAACUCACUAACUCUUAGUGGGUUAAACCAAUUAUCAGUCAAAUUGAUAAUUACAAACCAUUGUGAUUCCAAAUCACAAUCCAACCAUUAGAUCAAUCAGAUCCUCUAUUAUGUGUGAUCCCAUAGGUUCUAUUCUAUCUGGUAGUGAGAUAUAUUGUGAUUCCUAUCACAAUAUCAUUGAAACUCCUUUCAAUGGGUUGGAACAAUUCCAACUCUUCUCAUUUGGGUUCACUGAUCAUCAAGUGAAUGUCUCUGAGUCUCACAAUCCACCAGUGACACCUAGCAGCAUGUAGUGGCAACCCAGUAGAAUGGAAUAGAUGAACCUCUAGAUGCAGUUAGCGUAUGAUACAGUCCCUCUAUCGUGGAUCCCGACAGGAUGGAGGUCAUGGAUAACUCGUCAAACUCCAUCAUCUGUCAUAUGUAAAAUUUAUUCAACUCUAGUUCGAGAUUGGAAAACUCUUUUUUCAAAAAUACCUUAGCCAAGGAUUUACGAACUCAGUCUCAUAAAUCACAUAGGACUCUCCUAAUCUAUCAAGGUCGAUAGAUUCCAUCUAGAUGCACCCCUACUCCUGCAAUGAACCUACUGCAGCCAAUCUGCACCACAAGGACCCAAAUGGAUAGGGCCCAUAUUUAUGUGCUUGUCAAACUACAGCAACCUCACUAUGAAUAGCCGAGGCAUCGCAGGUCAAAGGACCAGCCAUACAACUGCAGCAUCAAGUAAGUCACUGAUGAGUGGAUAGACAUCCAAGUGACUACUUGCUUUGGUCACGCUCAGUACCCUUAUUCUCUAACAAGCACUUGCACAAGCACUCCAGUGUCCCUACACUGUGGACUCAAGACUCAUCCAUCUGACUAAGUGAUUUGUGCACUAAUCUUAGCGGAUCGAUCACCGUCCCUCAUGAUGGAUCCAUCGAUCAGGAGCAAUUCAGGAAUUAAUCACCAAUGACACAUGCCUCAAAUUCUCAACUCUUGAGAAUUUGCGUCAUUAUCUUAUUAAUUCCUUGGACGAUUCAUGGACACAUAAGAACCUGAAUGAAAAGAAUGCCCAUCCUAAUAAAUUCAUUAUUAGGUCAAGUACAAAUUUAUGUCCCAGAACAAAAUAAUGCGUCAGCCAAAUUGGCUUCUUGGGCAUACUUCUAACAAUGACUAUGUAGGACAAGGAAAGACCACUAAAGCUUCUGAUGGAGCUGUGGAAAGGGGUUAGAAGACACCUUACAUUUCAGAAUACUCGAUGCUGGAUGUUAGUAUGUGUAAUGUUGCGCAUUACAAGGCAUGCUGCUUGGAUGGUAGUAUAUGUGUAAUGCUGCAAAUUGGUAUGACUUUUGGAUUCUCCAAUUUUAAAAGCUUAGGAUUAAUGCAUGGAUUUGCAGUCUAGCAUCUAAAGAUCAGUAUUAAUAUGUUUCUUACAGAAAUCUAGUUCAACAUGAAACCAAGAUAAGUAUCACAUAUGGAGUCAUCUUCCAGUUAUAAUAUAUUUAUUUAACGGGAGGUGGUAUCCCCUACCCAGCCAGCCAGUUGUAGGUCGGAUUUGAACAAAGUCAUUGCGUACCACAUCCCAAUCACUUUCCUAAUUGGGCUAGUAGGAACCCAUCAUCAUCCAUUUGUAAUCGAUCAACAAUCAAGCCAAAAAGUAGCAUUGUUACCUGAAGAAAGAUUGCAGAUGCAAUUGAUCAUUUAGUCUAUGCAUAAAUACGAACAUUAAUUAAAGGGUGCAUUUGGUUUAUAACUAUGUUCCCAGUGUUCUUAAAUUAUUAAACAUUAUUUUAAAUAAUUUUUUGAUCAUCCAGUGGUAUAAAUACCUAAAAAAUGAAGGCUUGCGUUCUUUCUGGUUCGGUUUGUAGCUUUUGGAGUAUAUCUAUAUCAUCAUACUUUAAAGGAAUCCAAGAAAAUUCUUUAAGUAUCCUUGUCAAUAUAUAGAUUGAUAUUGUUUGACAUUAGCAUGUCAAUCAGGGAAAAAAAUAUAGCAAGGCGCUAUUAAGAUCUAACAAUCUAUUGCCAAUCUUCAAACAGUAGAAUUCGAUGCUCAAUGCCAAAUGAUGCUCUCUUAUGUGUGAUUAAAUUUGAUGCUGCUGAAAACUGGCCCAUCCAAGGCACUGCGAUUAGAAGCACAAUGAUGCUGUAGAGCUCGGCUAUUGGCUACUUUGGUGGGGAUCGGAGAGGGCGAACGACGCACAGUUGCUACCGGGGUCCUUGUUGGGUGGACGGACUCCAACCUGAAAUAGCACAAAUGAAGAAGUCCUCGGGCUGGAGCAUAUCCGGCGGGGGACUCUCUGAUGCCUAAGUUAGGAUGGUUCCCUAAAUGCCCUGGCCAAGUUCUUUUGAACUCAUCUAAUAAAUCACAUAUGAUCUCUCCUAAUCUAUCAAGGUUGAUAGAUUCCAUCUAGAUGCGACCCUAAUCCGAUAGUGAACCUACUACAGCCAAUCUGCACCAUAAGGAUCCUUAUUAAUAGGGCCUAUGUUAUGUGCUCGUCAAACUACAGCAACCUCACCGUGAAUAGCUGAGGCAUCGCAGGUCUAAGUACCAGUCGUACAACUGCAGCAUCAAAUAAGUCACUGACGAGUGGAUAGACAUCCAAGUGACUUCUUGCUUUGGUCACGCUUAGUACCCCUGUUCUGUAACAAGCACUUGCACAAUCACUCCAAUGUCCCCAUACUGUGGACUCAAGACUCAUCCAUCAAAAAAAGUGAUUUGUGCACUAAUCUCAUCGGAUCGAUCAACAUCCUUCGUGAUGAUCCAUCGAUCAGGAGCAAUUCAGAAAUUAAUUACCAAUGACACAUGUCUUAAAUUCUCAACUCUUGAGAAUAUGUGUCAUUUUAUUAAUUUUUUGGACGAUUCAUGGACACAUAAUAACAUGAAUGAAAAGAAUGCCUAAUUUUAUUAAUUAAUAAAAAGAUCAAGUACAAAUUUUGUUAGCAACCCUCAUAUGCCAUGAAAAUUUUGAAAUAAUUUUUAGAUUGCAGCGGAAAAACAUAUGCGGGAUCCGUUCAUUGCUUGAACGUGUUUUAAAACCUUUCGUUUGUAGAUAGAUUAGAAUUAAAUUAUUUUAAACCAUUUAAAAAUCAAUAAGAAGAUCAGAUCUUCACCUUGUGCGGGUAGAUGAUCUCUGCAAAUCUGAUUUAUGUGGAUUUGUUGAAGGUUCGAUGGAAGCCGCACACGCAUCCGGCCUCUACGGGUAUCCACACGAGGUAGAGGACCGAUCGAAGCUCUCGUAUCUCUCCGGGGUGCUAGCUCCCUUGUAGAGAUUUAUUUUGAUGGUUGAAGCUCCCCCUUUUCAAUUAACUUUUGAUUGAUUUGUGGGAAGGAACAAAGAAAAGGAAGAAGAUUGCAACACUCCUUACAGCCUUUUCUUUUGUUCUCGCGGUGGAUGAAGGAAUAGAAUAGGCAUUAUCCCACAUGCCUUCCUCCCUUUUCUUUUUGUUCUCACGGCUGAAAAACAAGAGAGGAGAAUAGGGGGCUUGCGGCUGGCUACUCAAGGGAAGAUUCCUUUUCUUUUAAAAGCUCACGGCACAAACUUUUUGGGAGGGAUUUUAUAAGGGGGCAGCCCCUGGUUUUUUUAAUAUGGAUAAGUGUGGAGCUCCUAACUUUUAGGAGCUCCAUAUUUAUCCCAAGGAGGGGCGUACGCCCCUCCUUUUCCCUUCAAUUAAUGAGCCCACGGAGGGGCCUACGCCCCUCCCUCAUUUCUAUCAUGCACGUGGAGCUCCUAAAAAUUAGGAGCUCCAAUGCUUAUCCCUUUUGUGCCGCACAAAGAAGAGAAAGAGGAGGGCGUGAGCCCCUUUCCUCUUAUGUAG